UCCUGCAGCUGAAUCAUACUUGAUCUUAAUACGGCAUGGAGAAUCGAUGUGGAACGAAAAGAACCUGUUCACUGGUUGUGUAGAUGUGCCACUCACCAGUAAAGGAGUAGAAGAAGCAAUUGAAGCUGGUAAGAGAAUUAGACACUUACCUAUUGAUGUUGUCUACAUCUCUGCAUUGAUUCGUUCUCAGAUGACGGCCAUGCUCGCCCUAACAGAGCACCACUGCAAGAAGGUGCCCAUUAUUGUCCACGAUGAGACUGAACAAGCCAAAGUAUGGAGUCAAAUUUAUAGUGAAGGCACCGAGAUGCAGUCUGUUCCUGUUAUUAAAGCAUGGCAACUGAAUGAAAGAAUGUACGGGGAACUUCAAGGGUUUAAUAAGCUAGAAACAGCUGAAAGAUGCGGACAAGAGCAAGUCUAUAAAUGGCGCCGAAGCUAUGAUGCUCGGCCACCCAACGGCGAGAGCUUGGAAAUGUGCUUGCGAAGAGCUGUUACCUAUUUCAAAGAGCAAAUUGAACCCCAACUUUCCAGUGGAAAGAAUGUAAUGGUAGUAGCUCAUGCAAAUUCAUUGAGGUCCAUCCUAAUGUAUCUCGAUAAAUUGACUGCAGAGGAGGUCAUCCACUUAGAACUCUCAACCG
This 635-nucleotide unclassified non-coding RNA is filed under the name Hevea brasiliensis (rubber tree). Lineage: Eukaryota; Viridiplantae; Streptophyta; Magnoliopsida; Malpighiales; Euphorbiaceae. The record is from RNAcentral.